UCAUGAUUUUAAUUUUGUACACAUACAUAAUUUUAUUUUUUUACUUAAGAAUUAUAGACUUUAGUCGUGUAGAAAUUUCGUAUAAAUACUGUUCGUUCUCCAAGUCUAUUCACAAUUCAAUUGAACAUUCACAGUUAAAAUGGCCACCUUCAACAAGAUUUUCUUCAUUUGCGUUUUGGUACCCGCCUUACUGAUGGCGAUCGUCCUACCAGCAGUUACAGCGGAAGAUUCAGCCGAACAUUCAGUUUUGGUGAAGAGGGGUAUCAAUCUUGCUAAAGUUGUGAAAGUAGUCAAACCAGUAGUAAAGGCACUAGCACCUUUAUUGGCAAACAUCUAAACCGGAAACAACCAAAGCGUACAUUAUCUUUAAAUUAACCUUUGUCAAAUUUCUACAAUAAAUGUUGCGAGCAUAUAAAAAA
Bactrocera dorsalis (oriental fruit fly) is the source of this 419-nucleotide long non-coding RNA. RefSeq lists it as uncharacterized. The transcript has 2 exons. The record is from RefSeq and is a predicted model, not a curated record. Lineage: Eukaryota; Metazoa; Arthropoda; Insecta; Diptera; Tephritidae.